Molecule: ribosomal RNA, 421 nt
Filed under: uncultured bacterium
Lineage: Bacteria
Description: bacterial SSU rRNA
Rfam family: Bacterial small subunit ribosomal RNA
Source: RNAcentral
UAAGGAAUAUUGGACAAUGGAGGCAACUCUGAUCCAGCCAUGCCGCGUGAAGGAAUAAGGCCCUAUGGGUUGUAAACUUCUUUUAGACGGGACAAAACCCCUUUACGUGUAAAGGGUUGAUGGUACUGUCAGAAUAAGCAUCGGCUACUUCGUGCCAGCAGCCGCGGUAAUACGAAGGAUGCAAGCGUUAUCCGGAAUUAUUGGGUUUAAAGGGUGCGUAGGCGGACUAAUAAGUCAGUGGUGAAAGCCUGCAGCUUAACUGCAGAAUUGCCAUUGAUACUGUUAGUCUUGAGUACAGUUGAGGUAGGCGGAAUGUGUCAUGUAGCGGUGAAAUGCUUAGAUAUGACACAGAACACCGAUUUCGAAGGCAGCUUGCUAAGCUGUAACUGACGCGGAGGCACGAAAGCGUGGGGAGCAAACA